Long non-coding RNA from Cyanistes caeruleus (blue tit), 3492 nucleotides. RefSeq lists it as uncharacterized. NCBI's taxonomy places the organism in Eukaryota, Metazoa, Chordata, Aves, Passeriformes, Paridae. The record is from RefSeq and is a predicted model, not a curated record.
UACAGCUUGCAUGGUUAUAUCCCUGUGUCUCCUUCUAUUCAAGUGAUUGCUCAGUAAAAUCACCCACACAAAAUUCUCUGUCCCUCUUUGCCAAUGUGGAACAUGAAGUCUUUUAAAGUGGACUUGUAAGAACAAAUACAUAAGCAACCAUCUGGUUCCUGGGAUCUGUGUCAAUGGGCAUAAAGUAGAUAUAUCAGCUAGGGGAGCAUGUUUGGGCUGUUCUUAGAUCCUAAUGUUAAGCUGCAAAAUCAGACUUCCCAAAGGGAAGAAAGAUAUUGAUAAGGCAUCUAAUCAGUUGUGGAAAGUUCUUUCAGAUUCAGUGCUAAAUUGUGUGCUGGGUGUCAUUCAGUCAGGCAGAAUUGAGUUGUCUUCCUGCUCCAAGCCAACAAGAGCUCAGGUCAGUACUCUCAACAAGUUGCUACUACUCCAGUUAAUACAGUCUGACCCCCUACGAGGUUUAAUUCCUUAGAUUUAGAAUAAUGUUAUCUAUCUCCACACAGCUUUCUGUCAGUCCAGGCCACGAAAAGAAAAAAUAAUAGUCUAGCCACAGAAUAUAGCACUAACUUUAAAUUAUGUCUAGUUUGUUGUUAAAAGAAUGGGGCUGCAUUCAUCUUAAAGGUAAUACUCUGAACGUUUGCAGUGAUUUACUGCAUAAUAAAAUAUUUAAUUUGAUAAUACUUCUGUAGCUCACAGCCUGGAUUAGAAAGAUUUAUUCAAGUCCAAUGCAGACGUCUCUUCUGCCCUGUGCAACUUCUUACUCCAUCCUUAUCAGCGUACAAAUGAGUGAAUUCAAACAGUGUGCUGAGCAUACAUGGGUGCUGCAAAGGAUAGCUGAGUAUGAGGACAAGGGUACUUUCUGUGUUUACACCUGUAUUUAGAAAUGUGUAUAUACACACAUGCUGGUAAGCUUUGAUUCAGAGAAGUCAAUUGAAUGUGAGAAAAAGUGCAAUUUAUUGGGUCUUCGAUUCAAAGGAAGUUAAUUUCAGGGUUCUCUAAAGAGCCUGUUCUUGCAUACCAGCUCUCCCUUCCCAGAAAAGUCCAAUUUCCUGCCUGUGUAGUCCUAACCUUCCUGUGGAACGCUUGGGAAGCAGACUUCAGCCAGCUACCUGCAGUGCUCAGUGAAUAAGGACAGUGACAGGGCACCACUCAAGAGACACUAUGAUGCAACUCUAUGAAGAAAGCCUUCAACUACUGUAAUAGCUGUAAUACAUCAGCAGUCUUGCCCAAAUCCAGCAACUGUGAGCACUGAAGAAGCCCCACAGAAUCUUUUCUGGAUUCCAAAGAAACUUCCUCUAGCAUCUUGGAGGCUAUUAGGUCUGCUCCAACUCGAAGAAAGUUCCUAUGUUUCUCAAGAUGCCACUCCUAUUAUCAAAAUCUACAUCCCUGGGCAGAACCAAAGCAUCUCCCACAAGAAGCUGCUUUUAAGCCAAGCAGAUGGUCCUUCAUCCCCCAGUACCCAGCACACUGCAAUGCUCUGGCCAGGAGGACACAGACAGCUGGGUUUCCCAGCCCCUGUCAAGUCACAAUUUAAAAAAAUGUUCCACUUUUGUAUAGAAAAUCAAGUAAGCUGAAUGUCCAUCACAAGAAAACUGGCAAAUCUGCAAAAAAACCACCGGGUGAUGAAAGACAGACUUCACUGCUCUCUGACCAAAAGGGAGGUAUUUUCACCAGUGUGGGAGGUGGGGAGAGGGAAUUGCUUGUACAACUCAAAUUGUUUUGCUGAAAAUGCAAAGUAACCAAUAACUCAAGACAUAAAGUACCUUCAGUAACCAGGAAAGUGUUUGGAGACUCAUAAGCAAGGCAGUCCCUUGUGAGAGCAUCUGCAUCCACCCAACUGUUUCAGAACCCCAUUUGCAGGACCAGACAUAAAAGGCAUCCUUCAGGGAGAAGAGGACAUACAGAGGACACACAUCAACACUGAUGACUAGCCCUUUUACAACCAACAAAGCCCUGGCUAACACAUCACAUCAGGUGUUACCUUAUGACACAACUACUUCCAUGGUUUUUGACCAGUUAACCAGAAACAGCUAAGCACAGGUCUGUGCCACACAGGGAUGCAAACAGUUAAUAGCUACAAGCUGUGUGGCUGAGACAUACAGGUAGACCAGGACAAAGGCAGAUAUUCCUCAGGGUUAUCAGGCCAUGGUAUAUAGUUCUUGGACCAUAUUCAGUGGCAAUAUAUAAAAGCUUUUUACCUCCCUUCCUCUUAAUCCUGCAAUAUUCACUGCUCCCUGUCUAACUAUAAGGGCUGGGGCAACAGCUCCACAAGGAAUUUACACAGGUAUGGACAAGAAGAGCAAAGAUGGGAUGAGGGAAAGGAAAGCAUACAUUCACUUGAAAAUGACAGCUGGGUGUAUCCUUUGUACUCAGGGACACUUCCACCAGCCACUAGUCUCCUCUCACACAGCUGCUUCCCAGUCCUUGAACCAAGCCACUCCAGCCAGCCAUUCACCCUGGGAGGAAGUCCACAUUGAUUGAGUCCCCUUAUUGGACCCCCAAGCUUUAAAAUACUCUUUCCAAGUGUUUUAAGACAAGGUGUUUCUUUUCUCGAAAUGGAAAAGAAAGCCUAUUGUCAUUAAGAUAAAAGGUCCAAUCUGCAUCUUUCUUUUGCUCAGUACCUCUCCAUACUGGGAGGGAUGCCAAGGAGCAGGAUAACAUUUUAAGCCUGUGUAAACACUCUGCUACCAGCAGUUCCCUAAACUUGUCUGCUUCCUAUCAGUGCUCUUUAGGUAAAGAGUAACCAUCUGCCUGAAAGAAUUAUUGUUCCUCACUGCUAUGUAAAAAGCCAAGUUGCUUAUUUUUAUCUAAUGGCACUUCCUUCAUAUUUCUUUUAGACCUAGUUCUGUUAGUCUUGGGAGACAGUAUCUCUGUGAAUAGUUUAACUCUUCUCAAGCCAAUUAACAACAUGAAUGAGAUGACAAGUUUUCACAGCCAAUCUCACAAGGCAGCCUGACAUCUUGUUGAUUGGUGCAGUGUCCCCAGUGUCUCCAGGAGAAGGUGCUGGGAGAACUGAGGAGGCUCUGCUGUACUCUACUUCUGUUGCACCCUUCAACAAAUCCACCAUGCCCCAGCUUUUCAGCCUCAGGCUGGGACUAAGUGUUUUUGCUCCUUAAAAAAUCUGUUGUUGGGAUGAAACGUGAUGAGGUAUGUUAAAAUCUCCUGGAAAGAGCUGCAGGUUUGUAAAAUCUUGGUUUGUAUUUGUGACUUUGGCUAGUAUAAAUACAUAAUUGCAAUUAAGUAACAGAGACAUAGGAUUUACCUUUGAAUCAGAGCAUGAACUAUGACCCACAAAUUCCAGAGUGAUUACAAAAUAUCUAAUGAACUUCAUCUACUACCAAGUGCUCAGAAAUUUAAUGUUGGUCUGAUAACAUAAGGAUUAGGAGGGGUCUUGGAAGAAACUCCUGUGACUUUGCCUCCUUCAUAGGUACCCAUUGCUUGAGAGAUACAGAUUAUGGUUUCCAGGGUAACUAGAUGCACACAUACACAUACACA